RNAcentral lists this ribosomal RNA (405 nucleotides) under Triticum aestivum (bread wheat). RNAcentral describes it as "partial small subunit ribosomal RNA". The record is from RNAcentral. Lineage: Eukaryota; Viridiplantae; Streptophyta; Magnoliopsida; Poales; Poaceae.
AUCCAGCCGUAUCGUUACAGCCCAGCGCAAAAGGAUGAGAUUGAAAAGCAAGUUGCGGACAUGUUGGCGCAAGGGAUUAUUGUACCGAGCACCAGUCCCUUUGCGUCGCCAGUCUUGCUAGUUCAGAAAAAGGACCUGACCUGGCGCUUCUGCGUGGACUACCGGCACCUCAAUGCAGUGACAGUGAAGAAUCAGUUUCCUCUACCAGUGAUCGAUGAGCUUCUGGAUGAAUUAGCGGGUGCCAAAUUCUUCACCACCCUUGACCUGCAGGUUGGGUACCACCAAAUCUGUAUGAAGCCCGAGGAUGAGCACAAAACAGCCUUUAAGACGCACUACGGCCAUUUCGAGUUCCGGGUGCUGCCCUACGGAGUCAUCGGUGGUCCGUCAACUUUUCAAGGGGGAAUG